RNAcentral lists this ribosomal RNA (497 nucleotides) under uncultured bacterium. Its description in RNAcentral is "partial 16S ribosomal RNA". It matches the Rfam family "Bacterial small subunit ribosomal RNA", at positions 28 to 507 of the family's 1533-position model. The record is from RNAcentral.
GAUGAACGCUGGCGGCGUGCCUAAUACAUGCAAGUCGAGCGAACAGAUAAGGAGCUUGCUCCUUUGACGUUAGCGGCGGACGGGUGAGUAACACGUGGGUAACCUACCUAUAAGACUGGAAUAACUCCGGGAAACCGGGGCUAAUGCCGGAUAACAUUUAGAACCGCAUGGUUCUAAAGUGAAAGAUGGUUUUGCUAUCACUUAUAGAUGGACCCGCGCCGUAUUAGCUAGUUGGUAAGGUCACGGCUUACGAAGGCAACGAUCCGUAGCCGACCUGAUAGGGUGGUCGGCCACCCUGGAACUGGGCCACGGUCCAGACUCCUACGAGAGGCAGCAGUAGGGUAUCUUCCGCAAUGGUCGAAAGCCUGGCGGAACAACGCCGCGUGAGUGAUGAAGGUCUUCGGAUCGUAAAACUCUGUUAUUAGGGAAGAACAAAUGUGUAAGUAACUGUGCACGUCUUGACGGUACCUAAUCAGAAAGCCACGGCUAACUACGUG